Molecule: transfer RNA, 77 nt
Filed under: Holosporales bacterium
Lineage: Bacteria; Pseudomonadati; Pseudomonadota; Alphaproteobacteria; Holosporales
Also listed under: 2 other names
Description: tRNA-Arg(ccg)
Rfam family: tRNA
About the family: Transfer RNA (tRNA) molecules are approximately 80 nucleotides in length. Their secondary structure includes four short double-helical elements and three loops (D, anti-codon, and T loops). Further hydrogen bonds mediate the characteristic L-shaped molecular structure. tRNAs have two regions of fundamental functional importance: the anti-codon, which is responsible for specific mRNA codon recognition, and the 3' end, to which the tRNAs corresponding amino acid is attached (by aminoacyl-tRNA synthetases). tRNAs cope with the degeneracy of the genetic code in two manners: having more than one tRNA (with a specific anti-codon) for a particular amino acid; and 'wobble' base-pairing, i.e. permitting non-standard base-pairing at the 3rd anti-codon position.
Source: RNAcentral
GCACCCGUAGCUCAGCUGGAUAGAGCGUUACCCUCCGGAGGUAAAGGUCGUGGGUUCGAAUCCCGCCGGGUGCGCCA